ACGCUCGACACCUACGGAGGCAGCAGUGGGGAAUAUUGCACAAUGGGGGAAACCCUGAUGCAGCGACGCCGCGUGAGCGAAGAAGUAUUUCGGUAUGUAAAGCUCUAUCAGCAGGGAAGAAACUGACGGUACCUGACCAAGAAGCACCGGCUAAAUACGUGCCAGCAGCCGCGGUAAUCUGAGCGGGCUGGCAAGGC
Molecule: ribosomal RNA, 197 nt
Filed under: uncultured bacterium
Lineage: Bacteria
Description: partial 16S ribosomal RNA
Rfam family: Bacterial small subunit ribosomal RNA
Source: RNAcentral